UAGUCAUAUGCUUGUCUCAAAGAUUAAGCCAUGCAUGUCUCAGUACAAGCCUAAUUAAGGUGAAACCGCGAAAGGCUCAUUAAAUCAGUUAUGGUUCCUUAGAUCGUACCCACAAUUACUUGGAUAACUGUGGUAAUUCUAGAGCUAAUACAUGCAAACAGAGCUCCGACCGGAGACGGAAGGAGUGCUUUUAUUAGAUCAAAACCAAUCGGUGGCGGGCUUGCUCGUCAUCGUACAACUUGGUGACUCUGAAUAACUUUUCGCUGAUCGCACGGUCUCGCACUGGCGACGCAUCUUUCAAAUGUCUGCCUUAUCAACUGUCGAUGGUAGGUUCUGCGCCUACCAUGGUUGUAACGGGUAACGGGGAAUCAGGGUUCGAUUCCGGAGAGGGAGCCUGAGAAACGGCUACCACAUCCAAGGAAGGCAGCAGGCGCGCAAAUUACCCACUCCCAGCACGGGGAGGUAGUGACGAAAAAUAACGAUACGGGACUCAUCCGAGGCCCCGUAAUCGGAAUGAGAACACUCUAAACCCUUUAACGAGGAUCAAUUG
RNAcentral lists this ribosomal RNA (550 nucleotides) under uncultured eukaryote. RNAcentral's name for it is "SSU rRNA". It matches the Rfam family "Eukaryotic small subunit ribosomal RNA", at positions 21 to 550 of the family's 1831-position model. The record is from RNAcentral.